Molecule: non-coding RNA, 90 nt
Filed under: Stenotrophomonas maltophilia
Lineage: Bacteria; Pseudomonadati; Pseudomonadota; Gammaproteobacteria; Lysobacterales; Lysobacteraceae
Also listed under: 3 other names
Source: RNAcentral
GUUCAUGGCGGAUGGUGCGUGGGGGUCUUAGGGCCCGUCGGCUUUCGUACUACGUAUCCGGCACGCCAACCCGCACCGUCCGCCACCUUG